This 23-nucleotide non-coding RNA is filed under the name Cricetulus griseus (Chinese hamster). The record is from RNAcentral. Lineage: Eukaryota; Metazoa; Chordata; Mammalia; Rodentia; Cricetidae.
CCUACUAACGGAAGAGCUACUGU